Molecule: ribosomal RNA, 521 nt
Filed under: uncultured Geobacillus sp.
Lineage: Bacteria; Bacillati; Bacillota; Bacilli; Caryophanales; Anoxybacillaceae
Description: partial 16S ribosomal RNA
Source: RNAcentral
CACGUAGUUAGCCGGGGCUUUCUCGUGAGGUACCGUCACCGCGCCGCCCUCUUCGAACGGCGCUCCUUCGUCCCUCACAACAGAGCUUUACGACCCGAAGGCCUUCUUCGCUCACGCGGCGUCGCUCCGUCAGGCUUUCGCCCAUUGCGGAAGAUUCCCUACUGCUGCCUCCCGUAGGAGUCUGGGCCGUGUCUCAGUCCCAGUGUGGCCGGUCACCCUCUCAGGCCGGCUACGCAUCGUCGCCUUGGUGAGCCGUUACCUCACCAACUAGCUAAUGCGCCGCGGGCCCAUCCGCAAGUGACAGCCCAAAGGCCGCCUUUCAACCGAAGACCAUGCGGUCUUCGGUGUUAUCCGGUAUUAGCUCCGGUUUCCCGGAGUUAUCCCGGUCUUGCGGGCAGGUUGCCCACGUGUUACUCACCCGUCCGCCGCUGACCGAAUCAAGGCAAGCCCCAAUCCGGUCCGCUCGACUUGCAUGUAUUAGGCACGCCGCCAGCGUUCGUCCUGAGCCAGGAUCAAACUCU